AAAAAAUUUGAUUCUAGUUUUUAAGUUUAAUUUAUAUUUUUAUUAUAUGUAAAUUUUUGUAAUAAAAAUUAUUUAAAUAGUAAUUUAUGAUUUUAACAAUAAUUAAAUUUAUACAAUAAAAGAAAUUUUGAUAUAGAAAUAUAUAAUAGUAUUAGUAAAAUUUGUGCCAGCAACUGCGGUUAAACAGAUAAUGCAAUUAAAUUUUAUUUAGCAAUAAUAAAUAAGUAAAAAUUAAUUUAAAAUUAAAUUUAUUAGGUGAAAUUAUAAAUUUUAAAUAAAAUUAGUAAAUUGUUUAUAAAAUUAUGAAAUUCUAUUAUUAGACUAGGAUUAGAUACCCUAUUAUAAGGAAAUUAAAUAAAAUGUUAGGGGAGUAUUAGUUAUGUUCUUGAAAUUUAAAGAAUUUGGCGGUAUUUUAAUCUUUUCAGAGGAACCUGUUCUAUAAUUGAUGAUCCACGAUUAAUUGUACUUAAUUUAUUAGUUUGUAUAUCGUCGUAGGUUGAAUAUCUUAUAAGAGAAAAAAUAUUCAUGAUUUUAAAUUUUUAGAAAAAAAAUCAGAUCAAGGUGUAGCUUAUAAUUAAGAAGAAAUGGGUUACAAUAAAUUUAUUUAAAUGGAUAUAAUAGUUAAAAUUAUUAUUAAAAGUGGAUUUGAAAGUAAUAUGUUUAAUUUAAAAUAUAUGAUUUUAGCUCUAAAAUAUGUACAUAUCGCCCGUCGCUUUCAUUGAAUAUUUAAGGUGAAAUAAGUCGUAACAUAGUAGGCGUACCGGAAGGUGUGCCUGGGUUGCA
RNAcentral lists this non-coding RNA (783 nucleotides) under Onthophagus cf. jeannelianus. Lineage: Eukaryota; Metazoa; Arthropoda; Insecta; Coleoptera; Scarabaeidae. The record is from RNAcentral.